UGGGGAAUAUUGGACAAUGGGCGCAAGCCUGAUCCAGCCAUGCCGCGUGAGUGAUGAAGGCCCUAGGGUUGUAAAGCUCUUUCACCGGUGAAGAUAAUGACGGUAACCGGAGAAGAAGCUCCGGCUAACUUCGUGCCAGCAGCCGCGGUAAUACGAAGGGGGCUAGCGUUGUUCGGAUUUACUGGGCGUAAAGCGCACGUAGGCGGACUAUUAAGUCAGGGGUGAAAUCCCGGGGCUCAACCCCGGAACUGCCUUUGAUACUGGUAGUCUUGAGUUCGAGAGAGGUGAGUGGAAUUCCGAGUGUAGAGGUGAAAUUCGUAGAUAAUCGGAGGAAGACCAGUGGCGAAGGCGGCUCACUGGCUCGAUACUGACGCUGAGGUGCGAAAGCGUGGGGAGCAAACAGG
Molecule: ribosomal RNA, 404 nt
Filed under: Actinomycetes bacterium
Lineage: Bacteria; Bacillati; Actinomycetota; Actinomycetes
Description: Actinobacteria bacterium partial 16S ribosomal RNA
Rfam family: Bacterial small subunit ribosomal RNA
Source: RNAcentral